Molecule: ribosomal RNA, 468 nt
Filed under: uncultured bacterium
Lineage: Bacteria
Description: partial 16S ribosomal RNA
Rfam family: Bacterial small subunit ribosomal RNA
Source: RNAcentral
GACGAACGCUGGCGGCGUGCUUAACACAUGCAAGUCGAACGGAAAGGCCCUGCUUUUGUGGGGUGCUCGAGUGGCGAACGGGUGAGUAACACGUGAGUAACCUGCCCUUGACUUUGGGAUAACUUCAGGAAACUGGGGCUAAUACAGGCUAGGAGCUCCUGCUGCAUGGUGGGGGUUGGAAAGUUUCGGCGGUUGGGGAUGGACUCGCGGCUUAUCAGCUUGUUGGUGGGGUAGUGGCUUACCAAGGCUUUGACGGGUAGCCGGCCUUGGAGGGUGACCGGCCACAUUGGGACUGCGAUACGGCCCAGACUCCUACGGGAGGCAGCGGUGGGGAAUAUUGCACAAUGGGCGGAAGCCUGAUGCAGCAAUGCCGCGUGCGGGAAGACGGCCUUCGUGUUGUAAACCGCUGUCGCUUGUGACGAAGCGUGAGUGACGGUAAUGGGUAAAGAAGCACCGGCUAACUACGUG